UACAUGGGGUGCAAACGUUGCUCGGAAUUAUUGGGCGUAAAGCGCGCGUAGGCGGUUACUCAAGUCGGAUGUGAAAGCCCUCGGCUUAACUGAGGAAGUGCACCCGAAACUGAGUAGCUAGAGUACUAAAGAGGGUCGCGGAAUUCCCGGUGUAGAGGUGAAAUUCGUAGAUAUCGGGGAGGAACACCGGUGGCGAAGGCGGCGACCUGGGUAGAUACUGACGCUGAGACGCGAAAGCGUGGGGAGCAAACAGGG
This 255-nucleotide ribosomal RNA is filed under the name uncultured bacterium. RNAcentral describes it as "partial 16S ribosomal RNA". It matches the Rfam family "Bacterial small subunit ribosomal RNA", at positions 524 to 777 of the family's 1533-position model. The record is from RNAcentral.